GGCUGGCCCGAAGGUAGUGAGAGUUAUCUCACUUGAUUGUUCACAGUUACAGAUAGAAUUCCUUGUUCUACUCCUCCCCCCUUCUCAACGACUGCACUUGACUAGUCUUAA
Molecule: Y RNA, 111 nt
Filed under: Microcebus murinus (gray mouse lemur)
Lineage: Eukaryota; Metazoa; Chordata; Mammalia; Primates; Cheirogaleidae
Description: Y RNA (ENSMICG00000021407.3)
Rfam family: Y RNA
About the family: Y RNAs are components of the Ro ribonucleoprotein particle (Ro RNP), in association with Ro60 and La proteins. The Y RNAs and Ro60 and La proteins are well conserved, but the function of the Ro RNP is not known. In humans the RNA component can be one of four small RNAs -- hY1, hY3, hY4 and hY5.
Source: Rfam by way of RNAcentral